RNAcentral lists this small nuclear RNA (113 nucleotides) under Chinchilla lanigera (long-tailed chinchilla). RNAcentral's name for it is "U4 spliceosomal RNA (ENSCLAG00000020989.1)". It matches the Rfam family "U4 spliceosomal RNA". Rfam says of the family: U4 small nuclear RNA (U4 snRNA) is a component of the major U2-dependent spliceosome. The structure of U4 snRNA from yeast and human has been reported. The record is from RNAcentral. Lineage: Eukaryota; Metazoa; Chordata; Mammalia; Rodentia; Chinchillidae.
AGCUUUGCUCAGUGGCAGUAUUGUAGCCAAUGAGGUUUAUCCGAGGUGCAAUUAUUGUUAAUUGAAAACUUUUCCCAAUACCCCGCCAUGACGACUUGAAAUAAGAAUUCUUA